Molecule: ribosomal RNA, 253 nt
Filed under: uncultured bacterium
Lineage: Bacteria
Description: partial 16S ribosomal RNA
Rfam family: Bacterial small subunit ribosomal RNA
Source: RNAcentral
AACGUAGAGUGCAAGCGUUAAUCGGAAUUACUGGGCGUAAAGCGUGCGCAGGCGGUAAUGUAAGACAGUUGUGAAAUCCCCGGGCUCAACCUGGGAACUGCAUCUGUGACUGCAUUGCUGGAGUACGGCAGAGGGGGAUGGAAUUCCGCGUGUAGUAGUGAAAUGCGUAGAUAUGCGGAGGAACACCGAUGGCGAAGGCAAUCCCCUGGGCCUGUACUGACGCUCAUGCACGAAAGCGUGGGGAGCAAACAGG